Molecule: transfer RNA, 95 nt
Filed under: Clostridium sp.
Lineage: Bacteria; Bacillati; Bacillota; Clostridia; Eubacteriales; Clostridiaceae
Description: tRNA-Arg
Rfam family: tRNA
About the family: Transfer RNA (tRNA) molecules are approximately 80 nucleotides in length.
Source: RNAcentral
GCACCUAUAGCUCAGUUGGAUAGAGCGUUGGACUUCGAAUCCAAGCGUCGCAGGGAAUCCAAGCGUCGCAGGUUCGAAUCCUGUUAGGUGUACCA